RNAcentral lists this ribosomal RNA (463 nucleotides) under Streptomyces sp. SID8499. RNAcentral's name for it is "bacterial SSU rRNA". It matches the Rfam family "Bacterial small subunit ribosomal RNA", at positions 1 to 478 of the family's 1533-position model. The record is from RNAcentral. Lineage: Bacteria; Bacillati; Actinomycetota; Actinomycetes; Kitasatosporales; Streptomycetaceae.
CAUUCACGGAGAGUUUGAUCCUGGCUCAGGACGAACGCUGGCGGCGUGCUUAACACAUGCAAGUCGAACGAUGAACCACUUCGGUGGGGAUUAGUGGCGAACGGGUGAGUAACACGUGGGCAAUCUGCCCUGCACUCUGGGACAAGCCCUGGAAACGGGGUCUAAUACCGGAUACAACCACUGACCGCAUGGUCGGGUGGUGGAAAGCUCCGGCGGUGCAGGAUGAGCCCGCGGCCUAUCAGCUUGUUGGUGAGGUAACGGCUCACCAAGGCGACGACGGGUAGCCGGCCUGAGAGGGCGACCGGCCACACUGGGACUGAGACACGGCCCAGACUCCUACGGGAGGCAGCAGUGGGGAAUAUUGCACAAUGGGCGAAAGCCUGAUGCAGCGACGCCGCGUGAGGGAUGACGGCCUUCGGGUUGUAAACCUCUUUCAGCAGGGAAGAAGCGAGAGUGACGGUAC